GCAUAUCAAUAAGCGGAGGAAAAGAACCCAACAGGGAUUGCCCUAGUAACGGCGAGUGAAGCGGCAACAGCUCAAAUUUGAAAUCUGGCUCUUUCAGAGUCCGAGUUGUAAUUUGCAGAGGGCGCUUUGGCUUUGGCAGCGGUCCAAGUUCCUUGGAACAGGACGUCACAGAGGGUGAGAAAUCCCGUACGUGGUCGCUAGCUAUUGCCGUGUAAAGCCCCUUCGACGAGUCGAGUUGUUUGGGAAUGCAGCUCUAAAUGGGAGGUAAAUUUCUUCUAAAAGCUAAAUAUUGGCCAGAGACCGAUAGCGCACAAGUAGAGUGAUCGAAAGAUGAAAAGCACUUUGGAAAGAGAGUCAAACAGCACGUGAAAUUGUUGAAAGGGAAGCGCUUGCAGCCAGACUUGCUUGCAGUUGCUCAUCCGGGCUUUUGCCCGGUGCACUCUUCUGUAGGCAGGCCAGCAUCAGUUUGGGCGGUGGGAUAAAGGUCUCUGUCACGUACCUCUCUUCGGGGAGGCCUUAUAGGGGAGACGACAUACCACCAGCCUAGACUGAGGUCCGCGCAUCUGCUAGGAUGCUGGCGUAAUGGCUGUAAGCGGCCCGUCUUGAAACACGGACCAAGGAGUCUAACAUCUAUGCGAGUGUUUGGGUGUCAAGCCCGAGCGCGUAAUGAAAGUGAACGGAGGUGGGAACCCGCAAGGGUGCACCAUCGACCGAUCCUGAAGUUUACGGAAGGAUUUGAGUAAGAGCAUGGCUGUUGGGACCCGAAAGAUGGUGAACUAUGCUUGAAUAGGGUGAAGCCAGAGGAAACUCUGGUGGAGGCUCGCAGCGGUUCUGACGUGCAAAUCGAUCGUCAAAUUUGGGCAUAGGGGCGAAAGACUAAUUCGAACUAUUCUAGUAGCUGGUUUCUGCCGAAGUUU
Molecule: ribosomal RNA, 917 nt
Filed under: Drechslera ocella
Lineage: Eukaryota; Fungi; Ascomycota; Dothideomycetes; Pleosporales; Pleosporaceae
Description: LSU rRNA
Rfam family: Eukaryotic large subunit ribosomal RNA
Source: RNAcentral